Molecule: ribosomal RNA, 253 nt
Filed under: uncultured bacterium
Lineage: Bacteria
Description: partial 16S ribosomal RNA
Rfam family: Bacterial small subunit ribosomal RNA
Source: RNAcentral
UACGUAGGUGGCAAGCGUUGUCCGGAUUUACUGGGCGUAAAGGGCGUGCAGGCGGUUUGUUAAGUGCAGGGUGAAAGCUCCCGGCUCAACUGGGAGAGGUCCUUGCAUACUGGCGAACUUGAGGGGGGUAGAGGAAAGUGGAAUUCCCGGUGUAGUGGUGAUAUGCGUAGAUAUCGGGAGGAACACCUGUGGCGAAGGCGGCUUUCUGGGCCCUACCUGACGCUGAGACGCGAAAGCGUGGGGAGCGAACCGG